GACGAACGCUGGCGGCGUGCUUAACACAUGCAAGUCGAACGGAAAUGCCCUGCUUUUUGGGGGGGCGGUAAGUGCCGAAGGGGGGGGUACAAGUGAGUAACCUUGCCUCGACUUUCUGAUAACUUGAUGAAACUGGGGCUAAUUCCGGGGAGUAGUUGCUGCUGCAUGGUGUGUGGUGGGAAGUGUCGGCGGUUGGGGAUGGAGUUGCGGCUGAUGAGCUUGUUGGUGGGGUGGUGGCUUAUCAAGGCUUGGACGGGUAGCCGGCCUGAGAGGGUGGAGGGACAGAUUGGGACGGAGAUACGGCCAGGACUCCUACGGGAGGCAGCAGUGGGGAAUAUUGCACAAAGCGCGGGAGCGUGAUGGAGCAACGCCGGGUGCGGGAUGACGGCCUUCGGGUUGUAAGCCGCUUUCGCUUGUGACGAAGCGUGAGUGGCGGUAAUGGGUAAGGAAGCACGGGCAACUUCCGU
This 467-nucleotide ribosomal RNA is filed under the name uncultured bacterium. RNAcentral describes it as "partial 16S ribosomal RNA". It matches the Rfam family "Bacterial small subunit ribosomal RNA", at positions 28 to 506 of the family's 1533-position model. The record is from RNAcentral.